This 949-nucleotide long non-coding RNA is filed under the name Panax ginseng (ginseng). RNAcentral's name for it is "long non-coding RNA (PGIN_LNC008051)". Lineage: Eukaryota; Viridiplantae; Streptophyta; Magnoliopsida; Apiales; Araliaceae. The record is from RNAcentral.
CAAUUCUAAAUUCGUCGAUCAAAUAAAAUACUUGUGCAAAAAAAAUCUUCCUGUAUUUUAUCAGAACAAUUUCAAAAUACAAACAACCAAAAAAGAUUAAAAAAAUUAAAUUAAAUUAAUUCAAAUUUCAAAUACAUGGAACAAGAGCCACCUACGCUCUCCUAAACCCAAAACCAACCACCACCGCCGAAAACCUACCACCAUGCCAUCCUGACCAACCCCCACUACUACCACUAUCCCUGCCCCAUACCACUGAAAACCUCAACAACAUCACCAUCUAAACUUCUUUUUUUUUCUUUCGAAACCCACUAUCACAACUAAACUCAAAAAGUUUACUGAUGGAAAAAUAUUACAUGGAGAUCUCCGGGAAGAGAAAGGGGUUGCUGCUGCCGUUGCAAGUUCUGCCCAAUUACACUCGUAGUUCCGUCAAAUUACAAAUCUUUCCUUUUACUCCUCUCACCCAAUUACAGUUACGCCGGGUUGCCGUGCCGUUAUAAGUGAUGAUGGCGAUGGGUCAAAUACCAGAUCUUUUCAUUUUGUGUGGUCAAUACUUGUAAUCGUGGUGAGUGGUGACGGAGAUUUUUCGAGGGAGGUUGAGAUGGUGAAUCCUAAGUGAAAAGUAUGGAUUUCGAAGCAGAAGAAAGGAAAUCAAAUUCGUCGAUCAAAUUCGUGCCGCAAUGGUUAAUUAUCUUCAGUUCUUCAUUUCGGUUUGCUAGGUUUUGAUUUAGAAUUGGGGGAGAGAUGGUGAUCGACGAAUUUGAUUUCAUUUUGUCUGAUAUGUUUCUUUUAUUUUAAUUAGGGCUUUUAAAAUAUUGACGAUUUUGCCCCUUAUAUAAAAUGAUUUGUUUAUGUAAUGAAUAAUAAAUUAUUUUUUUUACCACGUAAGCUUGUUAAGACCCCACACAAUUAGCCACGUCAGCAAUUUUUGACGUGGCGUGUUCAAUUUGGU